GUGCCAGCAGCCGCGGUAAUACAGAGGGUGCGAGCGUUGUCCGGAAUCACUGGGCGUAAAGGGCGCGUAGGCGGCCUGGUAAGUCGGGGGUGAAACGCUGCGGCUCAACCGCAGCACUGCCUUCGAGACUGUCAGGCUUGAGCACGGUAGAGGCUGGUGGAAUUCCCGGUGUAGCGGUGGAAUGCGUAGAGAUCGGGAAGAACAUCGGUGGCGAAGGCGGCCAGCUGGGCCGUUGCUGACGCUGAGGCGCGACAGCGUGGGGAGCAAACAGGAUUAGAUACCCUGGUAGUCCACGCCGUAAACGAUGGGUACUAGGCGUCGGGGGGAGCGACCCCCUCGGUGCCGUCGUUAACACAGUAAGUACCCCGCCUGGGGAGUACGGUCGCAAGACUGAA
Molecule: ribosomal RNA, 395 nt
Filed under: uncultured bacterium
Lineage: Bacteria
Description: bacterial SSU rRNA
Rfam family: Bacterial small subunit ribosomal RNA
Source: RNAcentral